RNAcentral lists this long non-coding RNA (1555 nucleotides) under Zea mays. RNAcentral's name for it is "long non-coding RNA (ZMAY_LNC003243)". Lineage: Eukaryota; Viridiplantae; Streptophyta; Magnoliopsida; Poales; Poaceae. The record is from RNAcentral.
ACUGUUAAUAUAUCUUUUAUUAUAUAAUCAUGAAUGGAUAAGAACUAUAUUGAAUUACAUUUAUACCUUCGGUUUGACAGAAGGCAAAGGUACAAGCGUGAUGCACGAGCGAGUACAAGUCAGCGUGAACAGUACAGGGUACUGUUCAUCUAUUUAUAGGCACAGGACGCAGCCUGUGUAAAAUUACAUUUAUGCCCUUUAUAUUUACUAUUGACUCAUGGACAACCCAACGAGGAUUAGAUAGCAUUUUCCCCUUUAGGUCGGUUCCUUUUUUUACUGCUGAGCCGAAGCUCCCUUGCGCGUAGCUUCGGAGCAGCAUCAACCUUCGUCUCGACCAUGCUUUCCACAUCGUGUACGAUUUUAACCCGAGUCCGAAGGUGCCUAUUCAUAUAUUACACUUGGGAAACAUUGUUAAAUCAUGUUUUUGAGGACCUUCGGGAGACGAAGGCCCCCAACAAUAUCUUAGUCAAAUUAUCAUCAUGGACCAGAUUAACUUUGGUCAAGAGGAUUAAACUACUAAUCAUAGGCUAAACCAAUAUUUAUUUAUAAAAAUAUGCUUUAUGGUACAAAUAAUGUCGCCACUGCGUAGACAAUUUUAUUACGAAGCUAAUGCAACUUGAACGGGUUAAAUCGGAGUUAAAACGCGAAAGAGAUUUUUUAACCCUUUGUAUUUAUUUUUAUAUUAUAAAUCAAUUUCUAGAAUUCCUUUAUAAAGUUAGGGGCUAUUUUACAAAAUUCUGGGACCUAAAUGUAAGGAUUCCAUUAUAGCCAUGGACGGUGGAUUAGUAUUUGAGUUCCUCAAGGGCUUUUAUGUAAAGAGGCGUGCGGCGAAGGGGUAUGAUUUAUUAUGGGCCGCUCAGAUCUAAAUCAUCGGCACAGAUUAGACCAUUCAUCCAAGUGAACCGGUUGCGCUAUCGGCCGUUGAUUGUGAGAUUUGCGGUGAGGAUUUAAUUAAAACGAGAUCCACCCAUGAUCCUCCGAUUCGAAUCCAACGCACCUGCUUUGAACACUGACAUGGUACCCUCAUAUUUAAUCCAGACCGUCAAUCAAGGGCGGACGGCCACCGCGCUCUCCUCCUUCCCACGAUGCCUCCCAGGCAGCGCCGCCCCGCAAGCACGGCGGAGGGUAUGUCGGAGCGUUGCGAUUUCGCAUAGCAAUGCCCCAUCUCAUGCGUAGUGGUGAACCCAGCAGACUAGAUCAGGGUGACGUACCGGCGGGUGAGGAGUCGACAAUUCCUAGACACGGCAUCAUGCGGCACAGCGGCGGUGGAGAAGAUCCGGCGAGAAAUCGCCAUGCCUUCACAGUCUCCUGCGCUCAGCGAUGUAGUUCCCCAUGUUCACCACCUCCUAGCACACCUCCCACAUCGCACGUAAGUCACCAAUCUACGCUGUGCUCAACUAGCGACGGUGGCGGUGGUCGGGACCCUCUCUGUUCUCUCUCUACGUGAGCCCUUGGUUCAUGGUGCUCUCCCGUGAUGAAGACAACUAGGGGGUGCUGUGCUCAGUAGUUAUCUGUCGGGGCCAAGGAAUCCGCAAGACCGGUAGCAGAGCAACGC